RNAcentral lists this transfer RNA (72 nucleotides) under Oryctes borbonicus. It matches the Rfam family "tRNA". From Rfam's summary of the family: Transfer RNA (tRNA) molecules are approximately 80 nucleotides in length. Their secondary structure includes four short double-helical elements and three loops (D, anti-codon, and T loops). Lineage: Eukaryota; Metazoa; Arthropoda; Insecta; Coleoptera; Scarabaeidae. The record is from Rfam by way of RNAcentral.
GUCUCCGUGGUGUAGAGGUCAGCGCGCUCGUCUGGAAAACGGAAGACGUAGAUUCAAAUUCUACAGGUGCCU